Molecule: ribosomal RNA, 510 nt
Filed under: uncultured bacterium
Lineage: Bacteria
Description: partial 16S ribosomal RNA
Rfam family: Bacterial small subunit ribosomal RNA
Source: RNAcentral
GACGAACGCUGGCGGCGUGCUUAACACAUGCAAGUCGAACGAAGAGCGAUGGAAGCUUGCUUCUAUCAAUCUUAGUGGCGAACGGGUGAGUAACGCGUAAUCAACCUGCCCUUCAGAGGGGGACAACAGUUGGAAACGACUGCUAAUACCGCAUACGAUCUAACCUCGGCAUCGAGGAUAGAUGAAAGGUGGCCUCUACAUGUAAGCUAUCACUGAAGGAGGGGAUUGCGUCUGAUUAGCUAGUUGGAGGGGUAACGGCCCACCAAGGCGAUGAUCAGUAGCCGGGCUGAGAGGAUGAACGGCCACAUUGGGACUGAGACACGGCCCAGACUCCUACGGGAGGCAGCAGUGGGGAAUCUUCCGCAAUGGACGAAAGUCUGACGGAGCAACGCCGCGUGAGUGAUGACGGCCUUCGGGUUGUAAAGCUCUGUUAAUCGGGACGAAAGGCCUUCUUGCGAAUAGUGAGAAGGAUUGACGGUACCGGAAUAGAAAGCCACGGCUAACUACGUG